Molecule: ribosomal RNA, 403 nt
Filed under: uncultured bacterium
Lineage: Bacteria
Description: partial 16S ribosomal RNA
Rfam family: Bacterial small subunit ribosomal RNA
Source: RNAcentral
AUUGAACGCUGGCGGCAGGCCUAACACAUGCAAGUCGAACGAGUGGCGGACGGGUGAGUAAUGUAUGGGGACUGCCCGAUAGAGGGGGAUAACUACUGGAAACGGUAGCUAAUACCGCAUACUAUCGGAUAACCCAUAUGGGAUUAGCUAGUAGGUGAGGUAAUGGCUCACCUAGGCGACGAUCCCUAGCUGGUCUGAGAGGAUGACCAGCCACACUGGGACUGAGACACGGCCCAGACUCCGACGGAGGCAGCAGUGGGGAAUAUUGCACAAUGGGCGCAAGCCUGAUGCAGCCAUGCCGCGUGUAUGAAGAAGGCCCUAGGGUUGUAAAGUACUUUCAGUGGGGAGGCGUUACCGGCAGAAGAAGCACCGGCUAACUCCGUGCCAGCCGCCGCGGUAAUAC